Molecule: ribosomal RNA, 157 nt
Filed under: uncultured Pantoea sp.
Lineage: Bacteria; Pseudomonadati; Pseudomonadota; Gammaproteobacteria; Enterobacterales; Erwiniaceae
Description: partial 16S ribosomal RNA
Rfam family: Bacterial small subunit ribosomal RNA
Source: RNAcentral
UACUCCUACGGGAGGCAGCAGUGGGGAAUAUUGARCAAUGGGCGCAAGCCUGAUGCAGCCAUGCCGCGUGUAUGAAGAAGGCCUUCGGGUUGUAAAGUACUUUCAGCGGGGAGGAAGGCGAUGUAGUUAAUAACAUCAGCGAUUGACGUAUCCUGCA